GUAUCCUGUCUGAAUAUGGGGGGACCAUCCUCCAAGGCUAAAUACUCCUGACUGACCGAUAGUGAACCAGUACCGUGAGGGAAAGGCGAAAAGAACCCCGGCGAGGGGAGUGAAAAAGAACCUGAAACCGUGUACGUACAAGCAGUGGGAGCACGCUUAGGCGUGUGACUGCGUACCUUUUGUAUAAUGGGUCAGCGACUUAUAUUCUGUAGCAAGGUUAACCGAAUAGGGGAGCCGAAGGGAAACCGAGUCUUAACUGGGCGUUAAGUUGCAGGGUAUAGACCCGAAACCCGGUGAUCUAGCCAUGGGCAGGUUGAAGGUUGGGUAACACUAACUGGAGGACCGAACCGACUAAUGUUGAAAAAUUAGCGGAUGACUUGUGGCUGGGGGUGAAAGGCCAAUCAAACCGGGAGAUAGCUGGUUCUCCCCGAAAGCUAUUUAGGUAGCGCCUCGUGAAUUCAUCUCCGGGGGUAGAGCACUGUUUCGGCAAGGGGGUCAUCCCGACUUACCAACCCGAUGCAAACUGCGAAUACCGGAGAAUGUUAUCACGGGAGACACACGGCGGGUGCUAACGUCCGUCGUGAAGAGGGAAACAACCCAGACCGCCAGCUAAGGUCCCAAAGUCAUGGUUAAGUGGGAAACGAUGUGGGAAGGCCCAGACAGCCAGGAUGUUGGCUUAGAAGCAGCCAUCAUUUAAAGAAAGCGUAAUAGCUCACUGGUCGAGUCGGCCUGCGCGGAAGAUGUAACGGGGCUAAACCAUGCACCGAAGCUGCGGCAGCGACACUAUGUGUUGUUGGGUAGGGGAGCGUUCUGUAAGCCUGUGAAGGUGUACUGUGAGGUAUGCUGGAGGUAUCAGAAGUGCGAAUGCUGACAUAAGUAACGAUAAAGCGGGUGAAAAGCCCGCUCGCCGGAAGACCAAGGGUUCCUGUCCAACGUUAAUCGGGGCAGGGUGAGUCGACCCCUAAGGCGAGGCCGAAAGGCGUAGUCGAUGGGAAACAGGUUAAUAUUCCUGUACUUGGUGUUACUGCGAAGGGGGGACGGAGAAGGCUAUGUUGGCCGGGCGACGGUUGUCCCGGUUUAAGCGUGUAGGCUGGUUUUCCAGGCAAAUCCGGAAAAUCAAGGCUGAGGCGUGAUGACGAGGCACUACGGUGCUGAAGCAACAAAUGCCCUGCUUCCAGGAAAAGCCUCUAAGCAUCAGGUAACAUCAAAUCGUACCCCAAACCGACACAGGUGGUCAGGUAGAGAAUACCAAGGCGCUUGAGAGAACUCGGGUGAAGGAACUAGGCAAAAUGGUGCCGUAACUUCGGGAGAAGG
RNAcentral lists this ribosomal RNA (1314 nucleotides) under Escherichia coli. Its description in RNAcentral is "partial 23S ribosomal RNA". It matches the Rfam family "Bacterial large subunit ribosomal RNA", at positions 429 to 1746 of the family's 2925-position model. The record is from RNAcentral. Lineage: Bacteria; Pseudomonadati; Pseudomonadota; Gammaproteobacteria; Enterobacterales; Enterobacteriaceae.